UGGGGAAUUUUGGACAAUGGGCGCAAGCCUGAUCCAGCCACGCCGCGUGCGGGAAGAAGGCCUUCGGGUUGUAAACCGCUUUUGUCAGGGAAGAAAUCUUCUGAGUUAAUACCUCGGGAGGAUGACGGUACCUGAAGAAUAAGCACCGGCUAACUACGUGCCAGCAGCCGCGGUAAUACGUAGGGUGCAAGCGUUAAUCGGAAUUACUGGGCGUAAAGCGUGCGCAGGCGGUUUUGUAAGACAGAGGUGAAAUCCCCGGGCUCAACCUGGGAACUGCCUUUGUGACUGCAAGGCUUGAGUGCGGCAGAGGGGGAUGGAAUUCCGCGUGUAGCAGUGAAAUGCGUAGAUAUGCGGAGGAACACCGAUGGCGAAGGCAAUCCCCUGGGCCUGCACUGACGCUCAUGCACGAAAGCGUGGGGAGCAAAACAGGAUUAGAUACCCUGGUAGUCCACGCCCUAAACGAUGUCAACUGGUUGUUGGGAAGGUUCCUUCUCAGUAACGUAGCUAACGCGUGAAGUUGACCGCCUGGGGAGUACGGCCGCAAGGUUGAAACUCAAAUGAAUUGACGGGGUCAUAGCUGUUUCCU
This 586-nucleotide ribosomal RNA is filed under the name uncultured bacterium. Its description in RNAcentral is "partial 16S ribosomal RNA". It matches the Rfam family "Bacterial small subunit ribosomal RNA", at positions 355 to 1375 of the family's 1533-position model. The record is from RNAcentral.